RNAcentral lists this transfer RNA (73 nucleotides) under Pteridomonas danica. RNAcentral describes it as "tRNA-Thr". It matches the Rfam family "tRNA". Rfam says of the family: Transfer RNA (tRNA) molecules are approximately 80 nucleotides in length. Their secondary structure includes four short double-helical elements and three loops (D, anti-codon, and T loops). The record is from RNAcentral. Lineage: Eukaryota; Dictyochophyceae; Pedinellales.
GCUGGUAUAGCUCAAUUGGUAGAGCAUUUGAUUUGUAAUCAAUUGGUUAAAGGUUCAAGUCCUUCUAUCAGCU